GAGAAGAGAGAGGAAGUGGUUGUUAUGAGAGAAGCAGAAUUUGAAGCAUUGAAGUGGUAAUAUGCUUCAGGAGUCAUCUGCAUGGAUAAGUGAUUGCACCUGUGAGAAGACAUCUAUCUCAGCACAGCUGAAUUCUCUUUCCACAGUUCCUUGAGUGAAAUUACAAUGAGAAUGAGAUUGGUUCGAUGUGAGAUUGUUGCGUGUAUUCCUAAGUUCCCAAGCUCCUGGAGUCGGG
Non-coding RNA from Meleagris gallopavo (turkey), 235 nucleotides. The record is from RefSeq and is a predicted model, not a curated record. NCBI's taxonomy places the organism in Eukaryota, Metazoa, Chordata, Aves, Galliformes, Phasianidae.